RNAcentral lists this ribosomal RNA (207 nucleotides) under uncultured bacterium. RNAcentral describes it as "partial 16S ribosomal RNA". It matches the Rfam family "Bacterial small subunit ribosomal RNA", at positions 568 to 774 of the family's 1533-position model. The record is from RNAcentral.
CUCGUAGGCGGUUCGUCGCGUCCGGUGUGAAAGUCCAUCGCUUAACGGUGGAUCCGCGCCGGGUACGGGCGGGCUUGAGUGCGGUAGGGGAGACUGGAAUUCCCGGUGUAACGGUGGAAUGUGUAGAUGUCGGGAAGAACACCAAUGGCGAAGGCAGGUCUCUGGGCCGUCACUGACGCUGAGGAGCGAAAGCGUGGGGAGCGAACA